AGUGAACGCUGGCGGCGUGCUUAACACAUGCAAGUCGAACGAGAACGGGUUAUAGCUUGCUAUAAUUGUCAGCUAAGUGGCGCACGGGUGAGUAAUGUAUAGGUAAUAUGCCUCUUACUAAGGGAUAACAAAUGGAAACGUUUGCUAAUACCUUAUACUCCUUAUUAACAUAAGUUAAUAAGGGAAAGAUUUAUUGGUAAGAGAUUAGCCUGUAUUGUAUCAGUUAGUUGGUGGGGUAAUGGCUUACCAAGACUAUGACACAUAACUGGUUUGAGAGGAUGAUCAGGCACACUGGAACUGAGACACGGUCCAGACUCCUACGGGAGGCAGCAGUGGGGAAUAGUGCACAAUGGACGAAAGUCUGAUGCAGCAACGCCGCGUGGAGGAUGACACAUUUCGGUGCGUAAACUCCUUUUAUAUGAGAAGAUAAUGACGGUAUUAUAUGAAUAAGCACCGGCUAACUCCGUGCCAGCAGCCGCAGUAA
RNAcentral lists this ribosomal RNA (484 nucleotides) under uncultured bacterium. RNAcentral's name for it is "partial 16S ribosomal RNA". It matches the Rfam family "Bacterial small subunit ribosomal RNA", at positions 29 to 523 of the family's 1533-position model. The record is from RNAcentral.